Molecule: RNA transcript, 4449 nt
Organism: Rhinopithecus roxellana (golden snub-nosed monkey)
Lineage: Eukaryota; Metazoa; Chordata; Mammalia; Primates; Cercopithecidae
Gene: TCF3
Gene name: transcription factor 3
Exons: 21
Source: RefSeq, a predicted model, not a curated record
GCCCGGGCCACGCGCGCCGCCGCCGCCGCCCACGCGCGACCCUCGGGGGCCCGGCCGCGACGCCCCUUUGUCCGGGGGGGGCCCCGCUUCAUGCCACCGCCCCCCACGCGCCGCGUGCCCGGCCUCGCCCAGCAGGGUUUCCAGGCCUGACGUGCCCGCCCUGGCCCCAGGAGAAUGAACCAGCCGCAGAGGAUGGCGCCUGUGGGCACAGACAAGGAGCUCAGUGACCUCCUGGACUUCAGCAUGAUGUUCCCGCUGCCUGUCACCAACGGGAAGGGCCGGCCCGCCUCCCUGGCCGGGACGCAGUUUGGAGGUUCAGGUCUUGAGGACCGGCCCAGCUCAGGUUCCUGGGGCAGCGGCGACCAGAACAGCUCCUCCUUUGACCCCAGCCGGACCUUCAGCGAGGGCACCCACUUCACUGAGUCGCACAGCAGCCUCUCUUCAUCCACAUUCCUGGGACCGGGACUGGGAGGCAAGAGCGGCGAGCGGGGUGCCUAUGCCUCCUUUGGGAGAGACGCAGGCGUGGGCGGCCUGACUCAGGCUGGCUUCCUGUCGGGCGAGCUGGCCCUCAGCAGCCCCGGGCCCCUGUCUCCUUCGGGCAUGAAGGGGACCUCCCAGUACUACCCCUCCUACUCCGGCAGCUCCCGGCGGAGAGCGGCAGACGGCAGCCUGGACACGCAGCCCAAGAAGGUCCGGAAGGUCCCGCCGGGUCUCCCAUCCUCGGUGUACCCUCCCAGCUCAGGUGAGGACUAUGGCAGGGAUGCCGCCACCUACCCGUCCGCCAAGACCCCCAGCAGCGCCUAUCCCGCCCCCUUCUACAUGGCAGAUGGCAGCCUGCACCCCUCAGCCGAGCUCUGGAGUACCCCGGGCCAGGCGGGCUUCGGGCCCAUGCUGGGUGGGGGCUCAUCCCCCCUGCCCCUCCCACCCGGCAGCGGCCCUGUGGUCAGCAGUGGAAGCAGCAGCACGUUUGCUGGCCUGCACCAGCACGAGCGCAUGGGCUACCAGCUGCAUGGAGCAGAGGUGAACGGUGGGCUCCCGGCUGCAUCCUCCUUCUCCUCGGCCCCUGGAGCCACGUACGGUGGCGUCUCCAGCCACACGCCGCCUGUCAGCGGGGCCGACAGCCUCCUGGGCUCCCGAGGGACCACAGCCGGCAGCUCCGGGGAUGCCCUCGGGAAAGCACUGGCCUCGAUCUACUCCCCGGAUCACUCAAGCAAUAACUUCUCGUCCAGCCCUUCCACCCCCGUGGGCUCCCCUCAGGGCCUGGCAGGGACGUCGCAGUGGCCUCGCGCAGGAGCCCCCGGUGCCUUAUCGCCCAGCUACGACGGGGGUCUCCACGGCCUGCAGAGUAAGAUAGAAGACCACCUGGACGAGGCCAUCCACGUGCUCCGCAGCCACGCCGUGGGCACAGCCGGCGACAUGCACACGCUGCUACCUGGCCACGGGGCGCUGGCCUCGGGUUUCGCCAGCCCCAUGUCGCUGGGCGGGCGGCAUGCAGGCCUGGUAGGAGGCGGACACCCCGAGGAUGGCCUUGCAGGCAGCACCAGCCUCAUGCACAACCACGCGGCCCUCCCCAGCCAGCCAGGCGCCCUCCCCGACCUCUCUCGGCCUCCCGACUCCUACAGUGGGCUAGGGCGAGCAGGUGCCACGGCGGCCGCUGGCGAGAUCAAGCGGGAGGAGAAGGAGGAUGAGGAGAACACGUCGGCAGCUGACCACUCGGAGGAGGAGAAGAAGGAGCUGAAGGCCCCCCGGGCCCGGACCAGCCCAGACGAGGACGAGGACGACCUUCUCCCCCCAGAGCAGAAGGCCGAGCGGGAGAAGGAGCGCCGGGUGGCCAAUAACGCCCGGGAGCGGCUGCGGGUCCGUGACAUCAACGAGGCCUUUAAGGAGCUGGGGCGCAUGUGCCAGCUGCACCUCAACAGCGAGAAGCCCCAGACCAAACUGCUCAUCCUGCACCAGGCCGUCUCGGUCAUCCUGAACUUGGAGCAGCAAGUGCGAGCAGUACGGAGGAGGUGCUGUCCCUGGAGGAGAAAGACCUGAGGGACCGGGAGAGGCGCAUGGCCAAUAACGCCCGGGAGCGGGUGCGCGUGCGGGAUAUUAACGAGGCCUUCCGGGAGCUGGGGCGCAUGUGCCAGAUGCACCUCAAGUCGGACAAAGCGCAGACCAAGCUGCUCAUCCUGCAGCAGGCCGUGCAGGUCAUCCUGGGGCUGGAGCAGCAGGUGCGAGAGCGGAACCUGAAUCCCAAAGCAGCUUGUUUGAAGCGGCGAGAAGAGGAAAAGGUGUCGGGCGUGGUUGGAGACCCCCAGAUGGUGCUGUCAGCUGCCCACCCAGGCCUGAGCGAAGCCCACAAUCCCGCCGGGCACAUGUGAAAGUAAACAAAACCUGACAGCGAGCAACAAAACACACACUUUGUCAGAAAAGAAAAAAAAUGCCUUAACUAUAAAAAGUGGAGAAAUGGAAACAUGUCACUCGAGGGGCUGCUGUGGAGACCCGGCUUAUGCUUCAAAAGCCACCAGCAAAUCGUGCCUAAGCCUAAUUUUUUUUUUAAGGAAAAUAAAAAGAACAUUAGUUAUAAGAUUUUUUUUUUUUUUUCUUAAUGUAGAUGAAAAUUAGCAAGGAUGCUGCCUUUGGUCUCUGGUUUUUUUUAAGCUUUUUUUUGCAUAUGUUUUGUAAGCAAAUUUUUUUGUAUAAAAGUCCCGUGUCUCGCUAUUUCUGCUGCUGUUUCUAGACUGAGCAUUGCAUUUCCUGAUCAACCAGAUGAUUAAACGUUGUAUUAAAAAGACCCCGUGUAAACCUGAGCCCCCCCGCCCCCCCGGAAGCCACUGCAUACAGACAGAACGGGGACAGGCGGCGGGUCUUUUGUUUUUUUGAUGUUGGGGUUCUCCUCUUGGUUUUGUCACGUGGAAAGCGAUGCGUGGGCGUUCCCGAUGAAGGCACCUUGGAGCUUCCCUGCCACAUCCUCUCCCCUCAGGAAGGGGGCUGACCUGGGCUUGGGGGAAGGGACGUCAGCAAGGUGGCUCUGACCCUCCCAGGUGACUCUGCCAAGCAGCUCUGGCCCCCAGGGCUACUCCACACGAUGUCCUCCCCAGGCCCCCAUAAGCUGCUCUCCCUUGGAACCUGCACACUUCUCUGAAAUGGGGCAUUUUCUUGGGACCAGUAACUCUUGGCAUGGGGACCACACCCUGGAGCUGGGUGCUGGGGACCCUCCUGGACACCCUGUCCUUCACUCCUUUGCCCCAGGGACCCAGGCUCGUGCUCUGAACUCUGACUGAGGGGACGCGGCUCAGGAGCCAUCACAGGACCCCCCACCCCCACCCCAGCAUGUCCCCAUUACACCAGAGGGCCAUCGUGAUGUAGACAGGAUGCCAGGGCCCUGGCCGGUCUCCCGCAACACUAGGGAGCAUCCCUGGGCCUGGGGCCGUACCUGCUGCCCUCCCUCUGUGGGGCCCAAGGGCAGGAGUGGCUGGAGCCAGGAGACUGUGCUGGUCUGAGCCCCACGAAGGCCUUGGGCUGCGCAACCCGGGUGCAGAACCAGCAGGGUGGUCCCUCGGGCCCAUCUGUGUCCUGUGUCCCAGCACCCAGGCCUCUGUCCAGCUCCCCUUUUCUGGUCUCUUGCCAUGAGGGUAACCAGCUCUUCCCAGCCGUCUGGGGACUGUCCUGGGUUUAAAACUGCAAGUCUCCUACCCCGAGAUUCCGUUCACUUCCACACCAACUAGGGUGAUGGUCACUGUGGCACCCAGGUGUGGGCUGGGCUAGCUGGGCACCUUCAUGUGCUCUUUAUGGCCCUCCCUGCAUUGAGGCCUUGCGGACCCCCGGCCUGGCUGUGCUCACUCCGGCAGCAGGUCAGGCGUCUGCCCCUGUGCUACCCCUGAGACUCCCACCAUUAGCCCCAGGAGAGCCUGGACUGCCUGACUCCCCUCCCCAGACUUGCUGGGGAGCCUGGGCCCCAUGGCAGAUUCAAGGGAAACCGCAAGGCCAGCUCAAGGCCUGGGAUCUGCCCCUAGUCCAGGCCAGGUGGAGGGGAGGGGCUGUCUGCCACUCCCCCUUCUCUGGGUAAGGUUUCCCCUGUGCCCUGGGGAUUUGGUCUCUUAGGGAACCUGCCUCUGUCUCCCUCUUGUUUUGAUCCUGGCCCUGCCCCUAGGUCUGGGUGGGCAGUGGCCCAGUAGCCUCUGGAACUGUGUGUUCUGCAUAGAAUUUAAACGAGAUUCACCCAGCGCCAGGAGGAAGAAACAGCAGUUCUGGGGAACCACAAUUAUGGGGGGGGGGGGGGGGUGUGCUCUGAGUGCCUCAAGAUGGUUUUCAAGAAAAUUUUUUUAAAGAAAAUAAUUUUAUACGUGUCAACACAGCUGGCUGGAUUAUUGGGACUUUUAAACGAUCCUCUUUAAAGUGGAUUCAGAGACCUGUCCUGUAUAUAACAGCACUGUAGCAAUAAAUGUGACAUUUUAUAACGAU